AAGCUAUAUAUAAUCCCAGUCUAUGUUUACUGUCUUCCAACCCAACCCAAAAUUUUUGUAUGUUUCUCAGUGACUAUGUAUCUGAUGUCCUUUUUAUUUCCAGUUUCAAAGUAUUAUAUAUGUUUAUGUAUUAAUCCAUGCAAGUGAAGAAGAGAGAGGGCAUCAUUUCCUAAUGUUGCCUCAAAUGACAAAAUAUCUAGAUCCAGCAUUAGCACUAAUCUCGCAUGCACACACGCAAUUGAAAAAAUUUGAUAAACACACACACACACACACACACACACACACACACACACGUGUGUGCUUAUCAAAUUUUUUCAAUAUGUUGUUUCAGUCAUUUAAAUGCACAAAUUCUUCUGAUACAAAAUGUACUGGAAGAAGGGCAAUAUGGUUUUCACUUUAUUCUCAUAUUUGAAUGAGAAUAAAAAGCUUUAAAAGAGAGAGAGAGAUUUUGAUUUAUCUCCAAUCAUUGUGGUGCACCC
Molecule: long non-coding RNA, 479 nt
Filed under: Androctonus crassicauda
Lineage: Eukaryota; Metazoa; Arthropoda; Arachnida; Scorpiones; Buthidae
Source: RNAcentral